GGCAUGUGGACAUGUUUUUAUUGGUCGCAUUCGUGUGACAUGCCCCUUACACCCAACAACCAUUCAUCUGAUGGACAUUGCCUGCUGCCCUGAGUGUCAAGGUGACAACUUCAGAAAGCUCACCUGACAGAAAGUAAAAUCUGAGUUGUAUGCAACUUCCUGCCAUGUGAAUGCCGAGUUGUAUACUUCAGUUCGUACAACUGAUUACAUACAACAAGUUGUACCAAACAGUUGUACUGUGUGAAUACCAUUAAGUCAUAAACUUGUCAGUGAGUCUUGUCUUUACUUCCAAACUGAUGAAUACAAAUUGAAGUAAGCUAGCAAUUAGGAUACCAAAGAAAACAGUCUCAAGGAAACAACCUGACAUCGCAAAAGCAUCCAUAAAACAUAAACCUUCUGAGAGCUUUUCAUUAAUGUUAACAUUAGCUGUCAAUAUAUUAUCAAUUAUUGAUCAAUUGAUGAUGUUAAUUAUCAAUCACAAAAUGAAAAAUCAUUUCUGAGCACUACCCACUGUCUUGUGGCAUCAAGUUAUCUUUAUAGGUUGGGGAGCAGUGGAAAGUGGUAAACAACUCUCAUUAGGAUGGUCCAGGUCCAAGUAUCACUAUCCUACACCUCGGGAUAAAGGAGAAAAUACCAAAACUAGUUCAAGCAGGUCAAAGCUGUGCAUGGACUGCGGGGCAAGUGUGGAAGCCAAUUUGCCAAGUGUGUUAGCUACCCGUUGGCCUGUCAAACCAUUGCUUCGGAUGUGGAGGUAAUGGUAAGGGACCUACAGUCUUUCCUAACAAGGACUUUUUUGUGCCAGACUACUUACAAGUACAUGACUCUCAGUUACCCCAACACUGACCUUUGCAAUAGAAAUACUUUUGCACUUUUACUGUGCUUUUAAUUAUCUUCUCCUCUGAUUCUGCUUGACUGAUGAAACUAAAAUUUAAUAUGUUAGAUUCCUUCUCAUGAAGAAAUCUAAUUCAUAUUCAUUUCAUUGUGUGUUAUUUUAAGUUUUUGCUUCAGAUAUUAUUAAAAUCUAAUUUAUCAAAAGGAUUUAGAAUCUUAUUUUUGUAAUAACCAGAUUGUGGAGGAAACGUCAUUGUCAUAAACUGUGUUUGUAAGAUAUGUUGUGUGAUCUUUUUCAUAGUUUAGUGCAGCAAUUUGUCAUUAGCUCACUAAUAAUAUGUCAUGAAAAUAUGGUUGAAGCAUCAUAAAAUUAUUUCUUCAUAUAUCAGGUGAGCUACAGAGCCUUGUUGCUCUAUUAUUCAUUUAUCAGUAUCAUAUCAGCAAAAUAUAAUGAAGCAGCAAUUUUACCACACUUUGCCAAAGUAUCCAUUUUCACAUUAUUUCUACUGAUAUUAUUUUUGUUCAACUUUACAAUAAAAGGAACAUUUAUAACAAGUUAUUUUGUCAUCUAUACAUAUAUAUUUUUUAUUUUUAUUUUUUUGUGCUUUUUGUGGUACAUUAAGCACUUGAUUUAUUAGCUAACUUGUAUGCAAUUGCAAGUGUUUGGACAAUACAAUUGACAAAUAUAUAUGUUUUUAAAAACACAUUUGGUCCUUUGUAUAGUUCUUCAAAGGUCAGUGACCUUUUUCUGAAUAAUAGUUUUGACAGAUAUCAAUGGAUUGGGACCAAAGAUCUUCUGUGGAUAGUCUUUUGUGAGGAGAAGACAGUCAAGUUUGAUCAUUGACAGUUAAAAAGAACUGUCUGUAAUAGACCGAUCCAGGCCCGACCGAUAAGCCCCGCCCACAAGCUGCCGUCCUCGUUUUAGGGGGGACAGCCGCUGGCUAUUCGCUAUGGCGUCACAGCCGGCGAAACUUGAAUGAGCAGGGGAUGAAUUUGGCUCAGAAUGCUUUGUUACCGGUCGUGUGUCAAAAAUAUCUAAAGAGAGUUAUACAUGAUCUGUUUUGGGUUCCAUUUUAGUUGUCAAAUUGCAUAUCAGAGUGAGAAUGAGUCAAAAGUCCGAUGCAAUGGUGUAUCGGUCAAUGAGGAAGUCACCAUGGCUGCUGAAAGUUAGAAGUGUGCACUACUUCAAAGCACUCAUGUCAGGCAGAGCAUACUAUAUUGUCAAUAAUAAAUUAUUCAUCCAAGGGCGGAGUAACUAAAUUUGGGUUAAAAUUUCCAUCGUAAUUUAAGUGUAUGGAAAGUACUGGAAACCGUAAACACAAGCACAACGAAGUUACAAAUCAUGUGGAUAUCUAUAAAUAGAUUGUCAACAGUUGCAUUGCCCAUGUUUUUUGUCUGGUGCUCUACGUAAAACCAAUAUAACCUAAAAGGCUUAGAGUUAGUGUACGUUAUUUCCCCACACUCCUACAUUGGUUUUUAUUAUAUAAUAAAUGAAUCAUAACAUACAUUUUAUUUGGGCAUCUGGAACAUGGGGUUGGGCAUGUCACCAGGGAUAAAUCUAGACCUGCUCAGAGGCUGAUAUUCAGCUCCAAAUCUGCAUCAGAUGUAAGUAAACUGUCCCCCUUCAAACGUUUUAACAUAUCUAUGCCAUUAAAACAAAGCAUAAUGUAAGGAAUUUAUGUUAUUUUCUUUUUCUCCGAUCUCUCUGCCAAGCGCACUUAGUUUGGAAUUCUAAAUUUAGAUAAAAAUCCCUGAUCACACUUCCAGAAUAUUGGACUAAAUAAACUGCCAGUAUUUAGGUACAUGGAUGUGAGAACAGUUGAAAACAUUGAGAAGAUCCAAGAUAAAAUGAGCACCUGUAACUGCCAUGGUUAUAUCAAAUCAAUGGGAUCCAUGUUCCAGAAAAGGGAAACCUGCCACGGUAAAAGUAUCUGAAGACAGGGUCUGCA
Molecule: long non-coding RNA, 2780 nt
Organism: Haliotis rufescens (red abalone)
Lineage: Eukaryota; Metazoa; Mollusca; Gastropoda; Lepetellida; Haliotidae
Exons: 3
Source: RefSeq, a predicted model, not a curated record